UGGAGAGUUUGAUCCUGGCUCAGGACGAACGCUGGCGGCGUGCUUAACACAUGCAAGUCGAACGAUGAAGCCUUUCGGGGUGGAUUAGUGGCGAACGGGUGAGUAACACGUGGGCAAUCUGCCCUUCACUCUGGGACAAGCCCUGGAAACGGGGUCUAAUACCGGAUAAUACUUCUGCCUGCAUGGGUGGGGGUUGAAAGCUCCGGCGGUGAAGGAUGAGCCCGCGGCCUAUCAGCUUGUUGGUGGGGUAAUGGCCUACCAAGGCGACGACGGGUAGCCGGCCUGAGAGGGCGACCGGCCACACUGGGACUGAGACACGGCCCAGACUCCUACGGGAGGCAGCAGUGGGGAAUAUUGCACAAUGGGCGAAAGCCUGAUGCAGCGACGCCGCGUGAGGGAUGACGGCCUUCGGGUUGUAAACCUCUUUCAGCAGGGAAGAAGCGCAAGUGACGGUACCUGCAGAAGAAGCGCCGGCUAACUACGUGCCAGCAGCCGCGGUA
RNAcentral lists this ribosomal RNA (500 nucleotides) under Streptomyces sp. Shibata-1. RNAcentral's name for it is "bacterial SSU rRNA". It matches the Rfam family "Bacterial small subunit ribosomal RNA", at positions 1 to 522 of the family's 1533-position model. The record is from RNAcentral. Lineage: Bacteria; Bacillati; Actinomycetota; Actinomycetes; Kitasatosporales; Streptomycetaceae.